GAUGAACGCUGGCGGCGUGCCUAAUACAUGCAAGUCGAGCGAACAGACGAGGAGCUUGCUCCUCUGACGUUAGCGGCGGACGGGUGAGUAACACGUGGAUAACCUACCUAUAAGACUGGGAUAACUUCGGGAAACCGGAGCUAAUACCGGAUAAUAUAUUGAACCGCAUGGUUCAAUAGUGAAAGACGGUUUUGCUGUCACUUAUGGAUGGAUCCGCGCCGCAUUAGCUAGUUGGUAAGGUAACGGCUUACCAAGGCAACGAUGCGUAGCCGACCUGAGAGGGUGAUCGGCCACACUGGAACUGAGACACGGUCCAGACUCCUACGGGAGGCAGCAGUAGGGAAACUUCCGCAAUGGGCGAAAGCCUGACGGAGCAACGCCGCGUGAGUGAUGAAGGUCUUCGGAUCGUAAAACUCUGUUAUUAGGGAAGAACAAAUGUGUAAGUAACUAUGCACGUCUUGACGGUACCUAAUCAGAAAGCCACGGCUAACUACGUG
RNAcentral lists this ribosomal RNA (497 nucleotides) under uncultured bacterium. Its description in RNAcentral is "partial 16S ribosomal RNA". It matches the Rfam family "Bacterial small subunit ribosomal RNA", at positions 28 to 507 of the family's 1533-position model. The record is from RNAcentral.